AUGGAAACACCAGCUCCUCCUGAAUGUAUGACCUGCUUGGGUGACGCAUACAGGGUUUCUUGGAUGGAAGACAGUGAAACUCACAAUCUACACAAGGAAACCAUCAAGCAGCAGUACGAGGUGGUUAAAGCAAGAACGGCACCCCCAAAUGACUCCAAUAUCGGUUCUCAUGUCAUGGAGUAUGGUAACAAGACAUUCAAGGAUGACAAGCUUUUCCUUUAUCAAGGUUUCUAUCCUGUGAAGUCAAGCAUCACAAACAGGCCGCUGCUUUCGCCCAGCCUCAAGGGUGCAAUCAAUCAAAGAGAUGUUGAUAUUCUUUUCAUGUGGAAGAAGUAUGAGCAGUUAAAUGUUGGAUCAGAGGAGAAGCAGAGGGCUCUCACCUCUCAGGGAGGUCAAAGAAACUGUGUUACACAGGAAGCAUCUCGACAGCAGUAUCGAUUUCAUCGGGAAGCUUGUCUUUGGAUUUGA
This 468-nucleotide ribosomal RNA is filed under the name Triticum aestivum (bread wheat). RNAcentral's name for it is "partial small subunit ribosomal RNA". Lineage: Eukaryota; Viridiplantae; Streptophyta; Magnoliopsida; Poales; Poaceae. The record is from RNAcentral.